Long non-coding RNA from Corvus hawaiiensis (hawaiian crow), 7411 nucleotides. RefSeq lists it as uncharacterized. NCBI's taxonomy places the organism in Eukaryota, Metazoa, Chordata, Aves, Passeriformes, Corvidae. The transcript has 9 exons. The record is from RefSeq and is a predicted model, not a curated record.
UCAUAGGCAUGAGAGGAACCAGCCCAGUGCCUAGGCUGGUGAAAAAGUUCAAGGGGCCUAUUUUUAUUCUGUCAAAAUUGCUUCCUUUUGGAACAAUUUGCAAAACCAGCCUGAACUUGAGCUAUUUAUGAAUCUUCCAGAAUGUUCCAGGGAAAAAUGGCACAUAGGUGUAGCCAAGGUCUGAAAAACUCGAAAGAAGAAGAAGGAGAAAAGUUAUUCACGCUUUGCCAUGGGACAUAACUCCCUGAGCAGGCUGGAGGCGUUGGAUGGAUCCAGACCUGUGGUUAAGCUUUCCCAGUUUUCCAAGGUGUUUGGGACCAGGAUAUAUUCGGGUCACUGACUGCAUAUAUGAGUAACCUGGGACAGAGGGAGGUGUCCCUGCCCUUGGCAGGGCUUGGUACUGAAUGAUCUUUAAGAUCCCUUCCAAUCCAAACCAUUCUGGGAUUCUGAGAUUCUGUGGAAUUGUUUUGGUGUGAAAAUCAGGUUAUCACAGCUGGCUGGUUCUUAGGUUUUGGGCUGGGACAGCAGGAGCAGCUCAUAUUCCUCAGAGAGCCCCCCAGGACAUCACAACCCCUGGUGUCACCCCAUGGAAGGGCCAGGAGAUGUGCCUGCCCCAAAAACCCACACAGGAUACACUGAGACGUGAGCAGAAGCCUGGGAAGCCUCUUUUCCCAGCUCCACCAAGCUCUGAUGGUAACAAGGAUCUGCUUUUAUCUCUGUGGGUAUUAACGCCACUAUAAACUCCCAAACGCUGGAGUUCCCAUAAAACUGAGGUGGGACUCCCGAGAAAUGGACACUUCCCAGCUCUUGGAAAUAGUGCAGAGGGGUUUUUGUAACAGCUACAACUGUAAUUUAAAGAGAGGAAGAGUGGUAUUCCAAGUAUUUUGUCUUUAAAAGGAAAUUCUGAAUAACUUAUGGAUAAGACAUUAACCCAGGCCUCGACCACUGUGGUUGUUAAAGAGCCCUCGGCACUGUUUGCAAGAGGGAAGGUGGAGGGUGUUGGUCUUGGAUUCCUGCCUAAAUUCCAGUUUAAGGAAAUGCAUCCCAACUACGUCAAGUUCCACCUGCCUUUUUACUGGGUCUGUAUUCCCAACCAUGGAUCAACAGGCCUGAAUUUCUCUGCCCUUCACCAGUGAGAAAAUGGCCAAAGCUCCGGGACGCGGCUGGUUCAGCUGGACUCCGGCAUUCCUCCUGCUGGGACAAGCAAACCCCUUGCUUUUGGGGUAGGAUUUAUGGUUUGUGUCUCAAGCCUUUAUCUUCAGCCUUGUUCAGAGGUGGAACAGGUGUCGUGGUGGAAACCUGGGAUGCUUAAUUGUCAAAAAUAGAGGAGGAAAGGGACCAGCAGCGCUGGGAGGAUCCAGCAUCCCCACUCUGGCCACAGCCCAGAAUAGUUCACAACGUAGAAAAUUCUCACAUCUACUCAAGACUGGCCUCACUGCCAAAGAAGUUUUUAAUUACCCUUCCAGAGGUUGUUAUCUCCAACAGCUCAUCAUUUUAAUGGGAUAAAUAUCCAUCCCCUCCUGCAGCAGGAUCCAGCGUGGCACAGGCACUGCUGCAUUCCAGCCCAAAGGUGGCCACACUGCAUCCACAGAAUAAAGUGAUCCCUGUAAAACAAGUUAAAAACAAUCCCUCUGGAUGGAAAAUGGGAAUAUUUGAAGACAUUUCUUUUAUCUUGCUUUGGUUUUAAAGAUCACACACUACCAGCAUGUGAAAAGGCAUCAUUUUUCUUCCCUGCAGUUAUUUAUGAUCCUAAUCCUGCUCCACCCUGUGUGUUACAGAUUGUGAGGCUUUUAAGUGAAACUUUAAAAAGCAGAUCAAAUCCCAUUUUCCCACCCUUUUUUUUCACUUCAUCUUCUCUGCACCCCAGCACGGGCACAUUUUAAAGGCAGGAAUCAGUUUACCUUCACAGCCACUCCCACAAAUGUAGUUCAGGUUCCAGAGCGUGCAGGGAACUGUAAAUUUGAGAGACACUUUGUAUUUGGAUAUAAAUAUUUUUCACACUUUGGCGAAGCAUGUUUCACCUUGUCUGCAUGAGCAACGAUGGGUUGUCCUCUGCUACCCCAGUUUUGCACUUCAGAGUUGCUCCUGAGGGAUGUUUCCGAAUGCUCAGGGGGGUGGUGAUGCUGCUGUCCCGGUUUUGCAAAUGAGAGUCCCAGUGUGAAACGAGGCUCAUUAACUUCUGCUGUUCAGGAGAUAUUGACAAAACCACAAGUGAGUGGCUCAUCUUCAAUAUCCACCCCAUCCACAUCCCACAGGGAUCCCAGCUGGUGCAUUUGCUGUACAAGGAUCUUCACAGGGAGAGGAAUUUGCCGAGCCCUGAGCAGUGGCUUCUGUUCCUGCUGUGGUUGGAUCCACUCUCGGAUGUCUCGGAGCUUCUCCAGCUGCUGCCUGCUGGGUGUCUGCUGCAGAGGAAUUUCUGUGCCCUGAGAAGAGGAUGGCUCCUGGCCCCGGGGGAUCUGCCUGGUUGGUUGGAGAAGAAAAUAUCUUGUCUGUGUCUUGGCCAGAUCACAGAGCAGAGCUGUGCUUCUUUGUGGGCAGUGGGAACAUCACCAGUGUGGGAUGGGAUUAUCUCCAUCGCUGCACUCAGGUUUGUUGCACGGUGGGUGUUUUAAUGGGAAACCUUCCCUAAAAACCCUGCCUGGCUGCAGCUCAAACCAGCCCUUUCUCCCUGCUCUCGUAUAGCUUCGAUCUGUUCCUAAUUGCCAGAAAACAAGCCAAGCCCCACCUGCUUCCUACCACCCACAGGCAGCCCACCAGGCCCCCUCCUCUACUUUCCAGGUCUAAACUCACCUCUGACUGCUACCCUCUCCUGUAAGACAUUUCCAAAGUGUCUGACUAAAACACACUCAGAAACCUCCCUGAAGCAGGAGCCUGGAGCUCUCAGGGCGUGGAGGAUGCCCGUGGCUUUAGAGCAUCUCCACCUCUCUGGGUACCUCCUGGCACCAAGAGAUGGAGGGGGCAAGAAAGGCCCCAAAACUUCUUAAAAUUUGAGUAAUUUUUCCUCCUUUAAACCCCACCGUGAGUCUCUCAUCAGUUCAAGGAAAUGCAUCUGCGUUCCUCUUUUACUGCUCGCUGCUAUUGGGUGAUUAAAAAACGGGGCAGCUGGGGCCACUCAUUCUUGACCUGGAGGAAAGCAGGAGGCUUAUAAAAGCUCUGAGUGCUGCAGGAAUUAUGAGGUAAUUAAAAAAAAAAAAAAAAAAAUCAGGCCAGAGCUGGGACCACGUCAAUAAAAGCAGGAGGAACUGAUGUCAGCCCCACGCAGGAUGUGGGGAGUGAUGCCUCUGCCCUCUGCUCCUGCUGCCGAGCCCCUGGUGGUGCUGAAACCUCGCACUUCCCACUGGCAGGGAUUUGGGAAUUCAGGAGACAGAACACAUGCUGGGGCUGGGUGGGCUCUUAUUUCCUUGGUGAAUUCAGCUGACUGGAAUCCCUCCCUCCCAAAUGUAAAUCCCGUGUGAGCCUUGGCGAUGGGUGUUUUAUCAGAGCAAGAUGAAAAUCCCCCAAAAAAGCAAAAAUUAAUAUUUAAAGGGAUGAGGAGGGGUUCCAAAUCACCAUUUGGGGGGUUAAGAGGCCUGGUUUUCAGGGGGGGAGCAUAUUUUGCCCGCCACAGGGUCAUAAGUAUUAAACCAGGGAAAAGAAACCUGGUUUUUCUUUAUCUAGGAUUUAUCUAACUCAAUUUAACCCAAGACUCAGCUUGGGUUUCCUGACCUGAUAAGAAGAAGGAGAGAGAAAUCAGCAGGAAUUAAUAGGCCUUUCCAUUGCUCACUGCAAUAAUCCAGGUCUUUCCAACGCUGGGGACCGACAUCCUCGUUUGGGGUCGCUCAGGACUGCUUCUCCAAAGAGCAGCCGCCUCCUCCAGGAGCAGUGCAUGGGAGGUUUUUGGGAGCAGCCUCCUGCCACCCACAUCUGUCCCCAUCCCACAGUCCUGCAGGGCACAGAUCUGGGGAUUAAAUGCCAGCAGUGCUCAGCUGCUCUGCCAGGUUUGGGCCCUGGUGGGAAUUAAAGCCCUGCCUUUAACAGCCCUCCCAACACAUUCCCAUCCCCACAGAACCCCUCACGAGUCCCUGUAACCCCCUCCCCAGAAAAACCCUUUGGGGCAGGCAGCAGGGAAGGGAAGGUUCCCCCUGUGAAUUCUCCCUAAUAAUUUCUGGCUUCGUUAAUCCAUUUUCCCUGUCUGGGACCCAUCUGGAAGCCAAGCUGUGACUUUGCUCUUGAGGGAAUCUCAGGUUUUUGCCUGUUUUCAGGGUGAUGCCUUAGGUUUUAACUUUUAUAUUUCUCAAAUCCUGCACUGCCUGCUGUGUCACUCUGAAGUUUGGUGUGGCCUCUCAGCUGCUGUUCUCUCGUGCUGGUCAGACAUAACAAACCUCGCUAGGUUUGCCCUCCAAGGACACCAGGCCCCAAAAGCUGUAAACUAAAAACCUCUGAAGAGGAGGGACAAACUUGAGGUAAUUACAUCAGGAACUGAGGCUGUAAUUGGAGAAUUAACCCUGAUAUGCAAAUGGACCAAACUCAUAAAAAUGUGAUGAACCCAUGACCCAGGGUCCAUCUGGGGUGGAGCCUUUGGACUGCCCAGGGUGAACCUUUGAAGGCCCACUUUUAUUCUCUUUUUAUUAUGUUUUAUAUAUAUUUUUUAUUAUUAUUAUUAUCCUACUUUUAUUCUCUUAUUUUCAUCUAGCCUCUGUUUUUAGGUGGCCACCUCAAGGCAUCAGUGUCUUUAUUCAAAUGUAAGGCCUUAAUGAGAACGAUACAGGGAACAAGUCCAGCCUCACUGCUUUGUUUCCUGAAUAUUUCCAUCCCAGCUGAUGAUGUCAGGUUGGCGGGUGUGGGGUUUUCCCCCUUGUAUGAAUGAACACAAUACUUCUGCAGAAAGGGAGGGGUGAGCUUGGAUGUUUUCACCGUUAGGUUUUAGGGAUCAUUAAUAAUGCCUGCAGUGCUUUCUGUAAGGAUGAGCCAAAGAUUUGGGAUGUAACAGCUUUCUAGUGGAAAAAGGGAUUAUUUCCAAUUAUAAUGUUUUGCAAAGAUGACACCUUGUUUCUGAUGAAUUCUUUUCACUUUAUUUCCAGCUUUUCGUCUUGCUCUUGUAAAAAAAAACUUGCCAGAGAGAAAAAAUGCAGCUCUUUGUAACUGAAAGGGAGUUUGCUGUGAGCUCCUCUGGAAGCCAGGCUGUGCCCAGAUCAGGUGAGAUCUGCCGCAUCUCCCAAGCCUGGGCAGUGCAGGAGAUGAGGGUACCCAGGGAGGGGGCAGGAAUCAGAUUCUGCCUCAUGCCCAUGGUCGAGCUUCUGCCCCUGAACUCAGCGCAGUCUCAUCUCUACCUUGUGAUGAAUCCCAGCUGAUUUUCCAGCCUGAGCUGUCCAGCCACUCAUGUUGGAUUAUAAACUGGAACUUUUACAGGCUGUAUGUGGGGUUUGUGGCUUCCUUUCCCUCUCUCUGUCUCCAAAGUCCACGAUUCUUAAUAAAUCAUCCUCUAGCCUGAGUUGAGUCUUGCUGUUUUAAGUUUAACUAGAUUAUUUUUUUGCUGAUAAGCCAGACUUUGAAUUCUUCCCAAGAUCACGGGUUGGGGCCCAUAAUAUCAUGGAGGAGAGACUGUUCAUGGUGAUCUAUCACAUGGGAACAGCACCAAGCUCUCAGGUUUCCCUUAGAUCAGCACUUAAAGGCACAGCACUUGUAUCUCAUGGAGCUGGUGGGAGGGAAGAGUCAGGGCUCCCACCAGAUACAUGGAAAAUGGACUGGGAUGACAGGAAAAUGUUGUAUUAUACAUCUAUUUCUUGCACUGUGUCAGUGCCAACAACUUCCUAAGGCUUUGAUCCUGACUUCACUCCAAUUUCUGCUCUUCCGACCGAACAGACCCAAAUCCACCCAAGGGUGGGAUUGAAGUGGAGCAAAGCAUUGAGAGAACCUGCUACACCCUCUUGUUGUUUCCCUCACUCUUCUUUGACACCACCCUGACACCACAUAAAUUUGUUUUCCUUGACAGCUCCAGGCAAAUGUGUCACGUUUUCAGAUCCAUCCUGAUGCGAUCCUUGUUCUCCCAGCCAGUGCCUGAGCUCCUCUCCCAGUAUCGCUGUUGACUUUGGCCUCCUCCUCAGAGCCCCGAGCAGCUCCCAUCACAUCCCACAGAGUCUCCAAGUUGUGUUCCUCGAGCAUUAACCCUGCAAGGAACCAGUGCAGCACAUGGCACAGGUCACCCUUAGAUCAGGAGAAGUUCCAGCCCCGCUCUGGGUAGAGCAGCUCCGUGAAGGGCUUUACUGGGAUGAGGUGAGAGGUGGAGGAGUCCUCCUUGAGGCAUGUCGUGUGCUCACAGCCUGUGGAAAGAAUGGAUUGAUCGAGAUUAAAGGUGUUCCUGAGAAGAGCAGCCGGGAGGAACGGUCAUGAGACACCUCAGGAAGGUCGGUGGCCAUGAGCUGAUGGCCUCUGUCCUGUCCUGAUGCAGCCACCAGCACAGGCAGCACCAACACCUUCCCCUCAGAGACUUCGCAGGAGGGUCCCAAAGUGAAACCACCAUCCCAAGUGGCCUGACAGGGGAGUUGUGGGGAACAGCCUCUUGCCUUGGUUUCCCCGAGCUGUCCCCAGGGCAGGUCGUGUGACAGGCAGGCCUGUCAGAGAAAGCAAACCCUCCAUCACCUCAUGGCUUUGGACUGCCAAAUCACACGGCUGCCAUCAGGAAGCUCAGCAGAUCCCCCUGGACCUCCUGGAGAUCAUCUGGGUGGCACAGCAGUAGGAAAGGAGCUGGAAAAUGGAUUGAAUUGCUUUUUCCCCACAAUCUCAAAGCGUUCAUGGCGGGACCUUUUGCCAGCAUUGUGCAAUGCUGGCUCACGUUUUGCUUGAACUUUAGUCCUGCUUUUAAUCCAUGCCACAGGAACCUCCAGGGAAAGGAAUGUUGCUGAUUCCUGACUUCAGCCGUGAUCAAAACCUUUCAACUCCUUCCCGGGCCAUUGUUCUAUGUCCUGUCAGCAUUGUCCCCAGGGCAAGGGCAGCUGUGUACCUGGAUCAGGAGUGCUCCUCCAUCAGAGCCAGCACUUCUCCAGCCCUGCAAAGCGAUCCUGCAGACACCUUGGAGAAUCAGCAUUGCCCCCAUGACUUCCAGUCCCCCAAAACCACAGUUAAACCAGGGUGUCCAUGUUCUGCAGACUUGCCUGGAAAAGUGGGAAUUCAGCCUGGAGGAAAGAACCAACACAAGCAAAAGCAGAAAACACCCGAUUCCUACAAACCCCUCUGUGUAUGUCUGAAUGAAGGCGUGCAUCCCCUUCCUCCCUGGCCCAGGAAGGACCACACUGCAUCCCUUGUUCGUCACCUACCGGAGCGUGGUACCACCGCCCUGCCCGAAGCUGGGGAUGGCCGCUGUGAUCCAGACAAUGGGGAUGGAGAAUGAAUGGAAAAUGAUCUCCUGUGUUGAGCUGACAACCAGCUCUCUGUU